Molecule: ribosomal RNA, 500 nt
Filed under: uncultured bacterium
Lineage: Bacteria
Description: partial 16S ribosomal RNA
Rfam family: Bacterial small subunit ribosomal RNA
Source: RNAcentral
GACGAACGCUGGCGGCGUGCUUAACACAUGCAAGUCGAACGGGCCUGUCUUCUUUUUUGGGGGGUGGGUUGAGUGGCGAACGGGUGAGUAUCACGUGAGUAACCUGCCCUUCGGUCCUGGAUAACCGCUUGAAAGGGCGGCUAAUACGGGGUGGUCCGGUUGGUCCGCAUGGGCUGGUCGGGAUAGAUUCACUGUUUUUGGUGUUUCGGCGGGGGAUGGGCUCGCGGCCUAUCAGCUUGUUGGUGGGGUGAUGGCCUACCAAGGCGGUGACGGGUAGCCGGCCUGAGAGGGUGGGCGGCCACACUGGGACUGAGAUACGGCCCAGACUCCUGCGGGAGGCAGCAGUGGGGGGUAGUGCACAAUGGGCGGAAGCCUGAUGCAGCGACGUCGCGUGAGGGAUGGAGGCCUUCGGGUUGUGAACCUCUGUUUCCGGUGGUGAAGGCCCUGUCCGUGUGGUGGGGUUGACGGUAGCCGGGGAUGAAGCGCCGGCUAACUACGUG